Molecule: ribosomal RNA, 246 nt
Filed under: uncultured bacterium
Lineage: Bacteria
Description: partial 16S ribosomal RNA
Rfam family: Bacterial small subunit ribosomal RNA
Source: RNAcentral
AUACGUAGGGAGCGAGCGUUGUCCGGAAUUACUGGGUGUAAAGGGAGCGUAGGCGGGAAGAUAAGUUGAAUGUUAAAUCUAUCGGCUCAACCGAUAGCCGCGUUCAAAACUAUCUUUCUUGAGUGAAGUAGAGGUUGGCGGAACUCCUAGUGUAGCGGUGAAAUGCGUAGAUAUUAGGAGGAACACCAGUGGCGAAGGCGGCCAACUGGGCUUUUACUGACGCUGAGGCUCGAAAGCGUGGGUAGC